GGUUAUUUAUAUAGUUGUAUGCAUGAACUGAAUAAAACGAGUCCUACAAUUUUUUAGAAACUUACCUAUAACCAAUAAGUGAGGAACGACGUAUUAUUCUGCUUAAUACGGAUUGAAGAAUGACUGAUCCAAGCAAUUGGUUCGUACUCAAGAACUUUAAGUGUCCCGCUGCAGGAUGUACUAAUAAAGAGGGAUAUUCGUGGAACUGCCCAGCGCAUGGAUCGCAAUAUUACAUAAAUGGUCUUGGCAAGAUACGAUGCGGGAAUGGGUGUUAUGAAAACAUUUGUCAAGUGCCGUGGACGUGUCCGCAUAGCUUUCACAACGGUGGAAACAAUACGGGGUCGGACUUGGAAAGUAUGGUGUUUUCUCUGUCCCUAAAUGUCACCCUGAUGCGAGAAGCGGGUGCUCAAUGGACAAGCGCUUUAAUAACGGAGCUCGGAAGACAAUAUGCACGCUAACAAUACUAAGACUCAUUUUAAUGAUGUUAUACCUUAUGACGGUUUGAUGUUUGCUCAAAAGAUUUUUCGGGUGGUGUAUUUAAAUAUAUUUACACAUUUGUAUGUUUUGCUGAAGAUACACCAAUCAACUUUUCUAACAGGUCACUUGUUUUUCUAUGAUCCAAAACUAAAUUAUACCAUUUAUAUUUGUCGUAUCUCACUGUCAUCUCGUGUGAGUAUUUCUGUAAAAGAUUUACUAUGCCACUGAUAAGUAAUUGCCUGGUCAUGUUCGCGUUACCAUUCUUCGAAUGCGAUUAUUUAUUAUUUGGAACAUCCGCUUUUCAUCAAAUCGUUAAAAAUUCAGUAUUGUACCUUACAGGUAAAUGGCAUAAUGCCUGAACCAUACGCACUAAGAAUCUUUAAAAAUUGUUUGAUAAAGAUUCAACCUCGUGUUUGUUUUUACUCAAUUUACCUCAAUUUUGGUUUGAACAGAACAUUAUUCAGACCAAGAGUCAUCACGAUUCUAAUUUUGAACCCCCAAUUAAUCCUUAUUCAAACAAAAUAAAUAUUAAAACCCGUCAGAUUUCUAGUAAAUAGCAUUCCAACCCAUGUUGUUUAAUAGUUAAAUACAAAACUGUAAUAUCAGCGCACUCAAUAUAUAAUUUUCUUGUUCCUUUAUCUCAAUUGUGUGCGUAUUAUUUUCCAAUUAAGCUACUAACCAAUAAAAAAGAUGUUGUUCCGUGUAUAAAGUUUAUAUGCACAAUUUCUAAAGCUAAAGUAUGCGUACGAUUGAUACGUGUUAUUGAUGUUCGAGUAAAGUAAUUUCCUAGAAUUAAAUAUUUUGGUCAUUAUGUCGUUUUAAGUCAAGACUGAUUUGAGGUAAUGCAAAAGAGAAUGAAUCUUCCGUAAUGGGUCAGAACGUUUAAUAACUUAGUUCUCAAUAACUGUUGUAAAAUAUAAAAAGAAAUAAUGUAAUAAAUAGAUUCAUUUUGCAUGGUUUUCUGUUUAAUUAUUAUUAACCCAGACAGCUUGUGAUAUACAUGCUUAUAAUAAUUAAUUGGGAUCAUACAUGAGUUUGUUCUUUUCGAAACGAUUUUAAAUACGGAAGAAAGAGACUAUCUGAGAUUUUUUAAGUUUCUUAGGCUAAACCUGAGUUUAAGAUUUGUAACUGUUCUUAACCGUGAACUGUGGUCACGUCGUGUGUAUGCAGUGGUUUAAACGUUAAGAGACUGUAUCCGAAAAAAUGUAUUCUACUCCAAUAAUAACAUUUACUGUGUGUAUAUUGUUUGACUAUUAAAAUUCGGUUACCAAAA
This is a long non-coding RNA of Dreissena polymorpha, 1750 nucleotides long. RefSeq lists it as uncharacterized. The record is from RefSeq and is a predicted model, not a curated record. Lineage: Eukaryota; Metazoa; Mollusca; Bivalvia; Myida; Dreissenidae. The transcript is spliced from 4 exons.